GACGAACGCUGGCGGCGUGCCUAAUACAUGCAAGUCGAGCGGACAGAUGGGAGCUUGCUCCUUGAUGUUAGCGGCGGACGGGUGAGUAACACGUGGGUAACCUGCCUGUAAGACUGGGAUAACUCCGGGAAACCGGGGCUAAUACCGGAUGGUUGUUUGAACCGCAUGGUUCAAACAUAAAAGGUGGCUUCGGCUACCACUUACAGAUGGACCCGCGGCGCAUUAGCUAGUUGGUGAGGUAAUGGCUCACCAAGGCGACGAUGCGUAGCCGACCUGAGAGGGUGAUCGGCCACACUGGGACUGAGACACGGCCCAGACUCCUACGGGAGGCAGCAGUAGGGAAUCUUCCGCAAUGGACGAAAGUCUGACGGAGCAACGCCGCGUGAGUGAUGAAGGUUUUCGGAUCGUAAAGCUCUGUUGUUAGGGAAGAACAAGUACCGUUCGAA
RNAcentral lists this ribosomal RNA (446 nucleotides) under Bacillus subtilis. Its description in RNAcentral is "bacterial SSU rRNA". It matches the Rfam family "Bacterial small subunit ribosomal RNA", at positions 28 to 464 of the family's 1533-position model. Lineage: Bacteria; Bacillati; Bacillota; Bacilli; Caryophanales; Bacillaceae. The record is from RNAcentral.